AACAGGUGAUAGCGAUCAGGUGCCGUGGGGCGUAAAAGGGAAUCCCGUGCAAAUCGGGAGCGGUCCCGCCGCUGUGAACGGGGACGAAAGUCGUGAUGGCCACUGGGUAUCCGGGAAGGCCGUACGAGUAGGAUGAUCCGUCAGCCAGAAGACCUGCCUGUUCGCUGAAGGGUGU
Molecule: non-coding RNA, 175 nt
Filed under: Syntrophobacteraceae bacterium
Lineage: Bacteria; Pseudomonadati; Thermodesulfobacteriota; Syntrophobacteria; Syntrophobacterales; Syntrophobacteraceae
Source: RNAcentral